RNAcentral lists this ribosomal RNA (554 nucleotides) under uncultured bacterium. Its description in RNAcentral is "bacterial SSU rRNA". It matches the Rfam family "Bacterial small subunit ribosomal RNA", at positions 777 to 1345 of the family's 1533-position model. The record is from RNAcentral.
AAUAGAUACCCUGGUAGUCCACGCCGUAAACGAUGGAUGCUAGCUGUUAUGCGUAUCGACCCGUGUAGUAGCGAAGCUAACGCGUUAAGCAUCCCGCCUGGGGAGUACGAACGCAAGUUUAAAACUCAAAGGAAUUGACGGGGACCCGCACAAGCGGUGGAGCGUGUUCUUUAAUUCGAGGCUAAGCGAAGAACCUUACCAGGGCUUGACAUCCUUGGAAUUUCUCCGAAAGGAGAGAGUACUUUAUUGGACCAAGUGACAGGUGCUGCAUGGCCGUCGUCAGCUCGUGUCGUGAGAUGUUUGGUUAAGUCCAUUAACGAGCGCAACCCUUAUGAAUAGUUGUAUUUUUCUAUUCAGACUGCCCCGGUAACGGGGAGGAAGGGGGGAUGAUGUCAGGUCAGUAUUACCCUUACGCCCUGGGCUAGAAACGCGCUACAAUGGCCGGUACAAUGCGCUGCCAACCCGCGAGGGGGAGCAAAUCGCAUCAAAGCCGGUCCCAGUUCGGAUAAGAGGCUGAAACUCGCCUCUUUGAAGCCGGAAUCGCUAGUAAUCGU